This 431-nucleotide long non-coding RNA is filed under the name Mytilus galloprovincialis (Mediterranean mussel). Lineage: Eukaryota; Metazoa; Mollusca; Bivalvia; Mytilida; Mytilidae. The record is from RNAcentral.
CUCGGCCUCAUUCUGCUCAAAUAUUCGGCAUUCAACACGUUUAUAUUUACUCUAUUUAUUCAAAGGCUUAGAUUAUGUAACUCAAAUGUAAAUCAAUAAUGUGCCUGUUAUGAAAGUUACGUUAACCUUUUAAAUGAUUUACAACAUUCGCUCACCAAUCACACGAUACACAUUCUUACUACGAAGUCAUGCUAAAAUGGAAAGUUACUCAUGCGUGAAACACUGAUUAACUCGGUAAUAAAAUUACAAUGAAAAUAAGAUAAAGACAGAAUAUCUAAAGAGAUAAGUGAGCAAACUGACCUGAAAUAAUUCGGAAUUCCUCCAAUACAAAUAGUACAAAAAUAUGAAACAGCAAAUAAAGUAUAUGAAACGUCUGUUCGGUUUGAACAUCAAUCCACAAUUAAAUAUAGACUGAAUAGAAAUAAACCGCC